UGCUAUCAUGGCGACGUGCGAUCAUUCUGUCGUUGAAUAUUUUCCUGGCAACGACGGCCAUCAUUGUGGCUACUGUGGUUCAGAUAACACCAAUUGUUCUCAUGGCAUGUGGGCACACACCAUGACUGUAGAGGAUUAUGAACAGCUCGUUUACCGUGGAUGGAGAAGAAGUGGAUGCUACUGCUACAAACCAACGCUGAGUAUUGCGUGUUGUCCCAUGCAGACUAUUCGGAUGGAUGCCCCAAACUUCAGUAUAAGUAAAAGUCAAAAGAAAGUCAUCAAGAUGGUGAACAGAUACCUCAUCCAUGGCAUAAAGAAAGGAGAGAGCUCUUCAGAUCACGAGGCGUGUGUGCGAGAUCUUCACCACAAUGAGACGAAACGCUCGAGUCAAGUGUUAGCCGACUUGGAUGCCUCGAGUCUCAGGUUGAAAGGCAGCAAGAAGCAGAAUGAGUCUGGUGAUAGCAUCAGCGUAAAACACAAGACGGAAUCGACAGCGAAGACAAGUCUUACAGAAGAUAAACAGUCUGCGGAAGUGGCAUCGGAACACGGUGUAGCAACCGCAAGGAAAGGCAAAACAUACAAACCAGGUGUGGGACUUGAUCCAAAUAAACCAAAAUGUGGGAAAGCAAAGCUGAUCCGGCUAGAAAAAAAGAAAAAAAAGCUGGUCGUGGAGUCAUCGGUUUCUGAGGAUCAAACAGACUCUGUGUCUACUGCUGAGAUAUCACCAAGUAACAGUAAGAAAAUGUUAAAAAGAGAAAAUGAACGUAAAAGUGUGGAGGAGUACCUUGCUGAACCAGAGAAGGCUGAAAGUGUUGCACACAAACUGGAGAUAAAACUUAUACGUUCUUGUCCACCAUCGGAAGAAUUUCUGUCGACUUUUCGUAAGGAGUCGUACAAAUUGUUUAAAAGAUAUCAGAUGUCAAUCCACAAGGAACCAGAAAAUGAAUGUACUCUGCGUGACUUUUCUCAGUUUUUGGUGGAGUCACCAUUGCAGCAUAUCCCUGGUGAUAAAAAGCUGCUUACAGGAUAUGGGUCGUAUCACCAGCACUACAUUCUGGAUGGAAAAAUCAUAGCUGUUGGCGUGAUUGAUAUUCUUCCCCAUUCCGUCUCGUCCGUGUAUCUCUACUAUGACCCCGACUACAGCUUCUUGUCCUUGGGCACAUAUUCUGCACUGAGGGAGAUUGCGUUUGUGAGGGAGUUAUACAAGAGUUCACCUGAUCUACGAUAUUACAACAUGGGUUUCUACAUCCAUUCUUGCAGGAAGAUGCAAUACAAGGGUCAGUACUCGCCAUCAUACAUUGCUUGUCCUGAAGUUCAUACGUGGGUUCCAAUAGAAAAAUGUCGACCCAAAUUGGACGCCGCCAGAUACUGCCGAUUAGAAGAGGAUCCAACAAUAGAGGAUGAAGAGGGAAAGAUCGACUUGAAUGCAGUUCUAAUACUACAGAAUGGGACAUUACUGAAUUACGAAAAAUACCACAUGCUCAAUCCAAGCAGGAAAGAUCAGUCCGAGAUUGAAGAAUAUGCAAAAUUAGUCGGGCGGACGUGUUCACAAAGAAUCUUGCUGUAUCGGCGAUAGAGAACCUGUUCCUCGACUCAUCAAAGCUUAGUGUUGUGAUUUCGAACAUAUUUAAAUCCCCCUCCCCCAAACAUAUCUUUAUAUCUAGUAGUCACUUGAUGGUGGUAACUACAGAACGUAGCAUAUGUUGUUUUCAUUUCUAUUAUGUUAGAUGAGAAAGGUAAACAAGGGGUAAACAAAAUUGUUGCUGUUGAAUGGCAGUAGAUUAUGAUAUGAGCCAUCACAUGAGAAACUUUUAACUUGGCAUGAUUUAAAAAACCCAAGAAAACAUUUGCAUCAUAGAAACAUGGAAGAAAAGGUUGACAUGUGCUUGUCACAUUGUUUUUAUCAUGCUAAGAAGAUAUUGGUUUCGUCACAUAAGAACAUAUAACUUAAAACAUUGGCAAUAAAACAAAUAAAGUAAAUAUUACUGUAUUAAUGCAUAAUUUUUUUUUUUUUAAAUUGACUUGGUUAAAAACUAACGUAGAACCAGUAAAAUUUUAUUUUAACUUUGAAGUUUAAAAAAGUAACAAUUUAUCCUAUCUUUUACUAGAUAUAUUUAAAUAUAGAACCUUACUACCAGAGAUUAGGUUUUUGACUAUUACUACCUGAGAUUUAGAUUUUUGAAGAUCCUUUGCACCCAUAUGAUUUUAAAGGAAAUUUUUUUUAAAUUAUUAUUUUUUGUUGCUGUUGUAGGUUUUUACAUGUGACAUCUCAUAGCUUAUAUAUUUUUAUCAUCGAACCACAGUGCUGUAUCCAUGAUAUAUCAUCCUUUUGUCAUUCUGUUACAACAUCUGCCUUGUGUUAUUUAAUGUGUUUUUUCAUAACCAUAUGCAAAAAGAAGUACAUUUAGGAAGCUUUAAAACCAACACUAUUACUCAUAAGUAACAAAACCGUGAGGGCACAGAUUUUCAAAGCUGACUUAGCGCUACAAUAUCGUAAAACCAUUAUAGACUAUGAUGUCACUAUGGUGAUUGUUUCACAAACAUAUUGAUCAUAUGAUGACUGUCUUAAAUUUUAUUUUCAUGUUUGACUUAUGAACAAAUUACUGGAUUACAUCUAUAUAUAUAUAUGUCAAUAUCUGUGUGGUUCAUAACCAUAUGUCCAACACCAUAUAACCGUAAAAAAAAGUGUUGAGUGCAUUGUUAAAUAAAACAUUUCCUUCCUUCUCAUCAAAAUGUCCUUUGGACUCUGCCUUGUGAAGAGAUACAAACUUGAUUGAGUACCAGUAGCAGACAGGAUAUCAUACCGUUUAAUAGUUUGUGUUUGUGAUCAUUUAACAGUUUGUUACUGAAGCCUGUAACCAAUGAUAGUAAUUUCACUUGGGAUAGUUUGAAUUGAUAGCUUGUGAAGAUUACUAACAAAAUACAACAACAUGGUAUUUGCCUCUUUUAUCGAUAUAGUAAAUGUUAGAUAGUUAUAUGUAAAAAUAUUGUUUAAUUUAUUAUACAUGUGAACAGUUCUUUAAAUCAAAACCAUUUUAUCUUAGAAUAUAUAUUUAUUGAUAUUAUUCAUUCAGCCUUUGAUACUGGCACUAACCAUACUUUAUUUAAAAUCCACCAACAAUGGCUGGUCUACGUGUAUUUCCUCCCACCUGUCUGGCUCUUCUUCGCAUUCGCCUGAUGUGCAGUUGGUCUAGGAUCGAUCCCUGUCAGUGGCCCCAUUGGGCUAUUUCUUGUUCCAUUCAGUGCACCACGACUGUGGUAUAUGCUAUCCUGUCUGUGCGAUGGUGUAUACAAAAGAUCCCUUGCUACUAUUGGUUUAUCAAAGACUGUGAUAUGUGCUAUCCUGUCUGUGGGAUGGUGCAUAUAAAACAUCCCUUGCUACUAACGAAGAAAUGUGGCAUGUUUCCUCCAAAUGUUUGACAAAUGAUGAUUAAUAAAUCAAUAUGCUCUAAUGGUGUCAUUAAACAAUAACUUUUAACCAACUUUAAAAGUUCUUUCCUAGAAAUGACGACUUUGUGAGUAGUGUAACUUUUUUUUAUAUACACCUUUUAUGUACACCUGUCUUUGAUGGUUCAUGUUAUGGUACGUUGUUGUUCAUCCAUCCAUCUAUCUGACCUUUAAGAUGCUAUGUGGUUCCAACUCCACCUGUAGGAGGACUGCCACCUUUAUAACAUGUGUCAGUACAGACACCAAAAACCUUUCUACAGCUUCCCACAGACAUCAGAAUGUGCACACGGAUGUGCAUAGGAUAUUUUUUUAGAAUGGUACAUUUUACAGAAAUAUUGCUCAAAUUAUUUGGGAGGGAGAAUCCCCUUUAAAACCAACUAUGAAUAAUGAUAAGGCCUCACAACAUCAUGUUAGUGACCGAGGUAUCAAGCCAAUACAGUAUGUUUUAUGCAAACAGAUCGAACCUUUAUUUUUGAUGUUUAAUAUAGUUGUUUCUACUUUCUGCGUCUUUGAAUUUAUGCUUCCUAUAUAUGUAAUCGCGGCUUACAUGUGUACCUCAUGUACAUAUAUUAUGCAUUAAUUUUAAUUUAUUCUGUUGAAUGCCUGCAGCCAUCUUGGUUUUUUUUCCAUCUAAAUACAUGCACUUGGAUUAAGACCACCACAUAUGUAUACACUGCUGUCUAAUAUUUACAAUUAUUUAAUUUAUUACACUAUGCAUAUUAUGCACAAUGUCUGAUUGGUCGGUGUUAAUCAAGGGUUUCGUGUUUCAUAUUACACGGCUCGGUGGUUUUACGAACCAAUAAAUCACGAUAUUACACUCAGGGAUCACUCUGUACUUUGACAAAUUAACCAGUUGCUAAUUUUAUAUGCCAAGUGGCUCAACAUCUAGUCUUUGGUUAAUAAAAUAUUCCUUAAAUUAACCCCUAUUUUUAUGUUUUGAAAGAAAUACUCUAUAUUUCAAGAAGUUGUCUAAACCACAAUUUGUUCCAGUGUGAGCACUAGGACUCGUCCAGUCCAAAACGGGGAUUCCCCUUGUACUGGCAUUGACCAACUACCACUGUUAAUUUGAUUGAUAGCAUUCACAUAUGAGUUUAUGACUUGUACAAUCAAGCACAGAGUAUAAUCUAGCAAAAAAUAAAUACUGACCUUGGCCUAUGGCCCGUUGUAUAUAUAUAUAACACACACACACACACACACACGUGUGUGUGUGUGUGUAUAUAUAUAAUUUUUGCACUAUAAAACAUAUCUGUCUCAUCACAAUGCCAUAAUUGCUGAAAAUGAGUGACUGUUGACAAGUUUCAACAUAUUGUGCUAUAUUGUAUCAAUGUAUUGUCUAACACACAUUGAACACAUUAUUUUGUUAUCAGGUGGUGUAAUAAACUGAAUUCUUUAGA
Molecule: unclassified non-coding RNA, 4841 nt
Filed under: Gigantopelta aegis
Lineage: Eukaryota; Metazoa; Mollusca; Gastropoda; Neomphalida; Peltospiridae
Description: arginyl-tRNA--protein transferase 1-like, transcript variant X1
Source: RNAcentral